AUUGAACGCUGGCGGUAGGCCUAACACAUGCAAGUCGAACGGCAGCACAGUAAGAGCUUGCUCUUACGGGUGGCGAGUGGCGGACGGGUGAGGAAUACAUCGGAAUCUACUUUUUCGUGGGGGGUAACGUAGGGAAACUUACGCUAAUACCGCAUACGACCUACGGGUGAAAGCAGGGGAUCUUCGGACCUUGCGCGAUUGAAUGAGCCUAUGUCGGAUUAGCUAGUUGGCGGGUUAAAGGCCCACCAAGGCGACGAUCCGUAGCUGGUCUGAGAGGAUGAUCAGCCACACUGGAACUGAGACACGGUCCAGACUCCUACGGGAGGCAGCAGUGGGGAAUAUUGGACAAUGGGGGCAAGCCUGAUCCAGCCAUACCGCGUGGGUGAAGAAGGCCUUCGGGUUGUAAAGCCCUUUUGUUGGGAAAGAAAAGCAGCAGGUUAAUACCCCGCUGUUAUGACGGUACCGAAAGAAUAAGCACCGGCUAACUUCGUG
Molecule: ribosomal RNA, 492 nt
Filed under: uncultured bacterium
Lineage: Bacteria
Description: partial 16S ribosomal RNA
Rfam family: Bacterial small subunit ribosomal RNA
Source: RNAcentral